This 447-nucleotide ribosomal RNA is filed under the name uncultured bacterium. Its description in RNAcentral is "partial 16S ribosomal RNA". It matches the Rfam family "Bacterial small subunit ribosomal RNA", at positions 29 to 523 of the family's 1533-position model. The record is from RNAcentral.
AACGAACGCUGGCGGCAGGCCUAACCCAUGCAAGUCGAACGCCCCGCAAGGGGAGUGGCAGACGGGUGAGUAACGCGUGGGAACCUUCCCUGUGGUACGGAAUAACUGACCGAAAGGUUGGCUAAUACCGUAUACGUCCGAGAGGAGAAAGAUUUAUCGCCAUAGGAUGGGCCCGCGUCGGAUUAGCUAGUUGGUGAGGUAAUGGCUCACCAAGGCGACGAUCCGUAGCUGGUCUGAGAGGAUGAUCAGCCACACUGGGACUGAGACACGGCCCAGACUCCUACGGGAGGCAGCAGUGGGGAAUAUUGGACAAUGGGCGCAAGCCUGAUCCAGCCAUGCCGCGUGAGUGAUGAAGGUCUUCGGAUUGUAAAACUCUUUCGCCGGGGAAGAUAAUGACGGUACCCGGAGAAGAAGCUCCGGCUAACUUCGCGCCAGCAGCCGCAGUAA